UGUCGGGUGUCGUGACCUUGGCGAAACUAAACGAUAAUUACACCGAAUAAAUAGUGGAGCCCCUGCGACUCGUCCUAGCGCCACAGACGCAGCUACUGAUCGUCAACGGCUGUCUGCAGUCUCGCUCUUCAGCAACAUGGCCACCGCAGUGCCCCUGCCGCAGCCUCUGCUCGACCCUUCGGAAUUGCUCAGGCCGGAGCCCCUAUACGCAGGGAAGCCGGUCUCGCAGUUCCGCGACUACACCAUCGACGAGAAUGACCCAGUCAAGGAGCGAGUGCGCAAGCUCUACCUCGCCAUGCACACGCACCAGACCGUGGACUUCGUCAAGAGUCGGCACGAGAAGUGGCGCAAGUUCGACAAGUUCCGUGCUCCCGUGCUGGAAGCCCUCGACACGCUGAACAAGCUGGUGGACGAGAGUGACCCGGACGUCGACGUGCCCAACAUCGUGCACGCCUACCAGACGGCCGAACGCAUCCGCGAGGACUUCCCGGACUGCGAGUGGCUGCAGCUCACCGGACUCAUACACGACCUGGGCAAGUUCAUGGCGUUCUAUGAUGAGCCUCAGUGGGCAGUCGUAGGCGAUACUUUCCCAGUGGGCUGCGCCUGGGCCGACUCCAUCGUCUACAGGGACACCAGCUUCGUCGACAACCCGGACGGCAAGGACCCACGUUACAACACCAAGUACGGCAUGUACAAACCACACUGUGGACUGAACAACGUGCUGAUGUCGUGGGGCCAUGACGAGUACCUUUACCAUGCUCUCAGGCAUAACGGCUCCAAGCUGCCAGAAAUAGCGCACAGAAUCAUACGCUUCCACUCCUUCUACCCGUGGUACACCAACGGGGAAUACAUGCACCUCUGCAACGAGGAGGAUAUGGAAACCCUCAAGUGGGUUAAGGUGUUCAACAAGUACGAUCUGUACACGAAGAGCGACGAGACGCCAGACAUAGACGCGCUCAAGCCGUACUAUCAGAGCCUCGUAGACAAGUACCUGCCUGGAACGCUCAGCUGGUAGUGUUCCAGGUGUCCAACGGGUCUGCGGUUGUUUCCAUGGUCUAAAUAAGUGUUUGAAAAUAUUAUCAUAGCAAACGCUGAAGGGUUGAUCAAAAACAUGCUGUACAUUAUGUUGUGUGUUUAAUCACUAGGAAACUGAAUAACUUUUUCUAUCACGCUGAAUAAUAGCGGUGUGUGUAUUUGGCAAGUUUGUCUACUUAAGGGACAUGAUUCAUAAACAUAAGGGUAAAUCUUGAAAAGGACAGAUUCAUGAAACAAAUGAAAACCUUGAAACAUUUGUCAGUGUCCUGAGUAGUGGAGAUCAAAGAAUAUGAGUUGCUAGCCCAUGCAAUUCUUAUCAUAAUUUAAAAUAUCUUUUGAGAACAAUUUGCUGUAAGAACCACAGCUUUUGAUCUUACACUUUUUUCUGUAUUGUAUGCUGUAUUGUAAGUGAAAUAAAGCAAGUUAACUAUUUAUGUACAUUUCUCGAAAUAAAAACAGAAUAGAAGCUUGA
RNA transcript from Schistocerca piceifrons (Central American locust), 1507 nucleotides. It is a transcript of the gene named inositol oxygenase-like, with no coding region annotated. The record is from RefSeq and is a predicted model, not a curated record. NCBI's taxonomy places the organism in Eukaryota, Metazoa, Arthropoda, Insecta, Orthoptera, Acrididae. The transcript is spliced from 7 exons.